UUGAGAUAGACGCCGUGAUAACUCUAACAACAAAAGUCAAAAGAGAAAAAGUGAUGGUUGAUGAUCUUUCUGUUAUUAGGGGCCUACUAUUACUAAUCAUUGUAAUCCCAGAGAGCUAAACAAUGACUUCAAAUCAGCAAAUAUUGCAGAAAGUUAUGAGAAACAACUGACAAAGAUUUCAUAUUUAAAGCUAAUGUUCUAUUUUACAUAAAGUUUCCUUGUUGAGGAUGAGCCAGUUAAUUUUGGAAUUACUCAAGACAUUGCCAGUAAGACUGGGACUGUUACCUUUGAUUAUGAAUUUGGUACAUGCCUUUUUGAAAUAAAACCAACAAGCAGUGGUUUGAGUGAGGGGCUGUUUACUAUAACCAACAAUGAAGCAAUAAUAGGAUAUAAAACAGUGCCAUUUAAAACUGGUAAAAUCAAUGUGAUGAAACUAAAGUCUAAAGAAGAAGAGAUCGUUAGUCAUUACAUUGUUGAAUUAACCAAAGAACAGGGACUGGAUUUAAAGACUAUUUUUAAGAAACCUUCUGUUUGAUUUCUUUUAUACAGAAUCUUAAGCUUUGUAAUUUUCUGAUACAUUUUCAAAUAGAUUGUAUUAGUAAUUGUAUUGCUAUUGUAUUUCAUUUCAUAAAAGUAGAAUUAUUUUACAUUAGCACAACAUUAAUUGAUUGGAUAUGAAGCCCUCAGCUUCAAAUUGUUUUAAACUCAUUAAAAAAAAAUAGGUACAAUUUACAUAACUUUAUUUUUAAAUUGAUAAAAUUGAUUUCUAAUCUCUCGAGUUCAAACCCUCUGGCAGAUAUGGCUCGCUCCCUUCCAACACUAAAAAUUAAGAACGAAGAAGAAGAGAAGAUUUCUAAUUAACAUAAAAUUAGUUUAGUUUAAAAAUAUUACAAUCUUUUUCAUACCUUAUUGGUCUAAUUAGUUGUUUGUUUUUUUUUUGGUGUAAAGUUUAGAAACUACCAACAAGUAAAAAUGGAUUUGUGAGUAAAAAAUAUUGGAUGUUAGAUUCUUUUCUUUUGUGAUUAGUUUGCUAAAAAGAAUUAUUAUUUAAAAGGAGUAAGUAACAGGUAAUCACAGUAGGUAUGACAACUACAUAUUUAUUCAUAAUGUUAGAUUUAGUACCUGUAUUGCAAUAAAAAUGUGUUUGUUAUUGUAUUUGGCACAUCACUUUAUUUGGUUAUGGAGAGCUUUUAAACAAUGUAUUUGUUUGUAAUAAAUUAUUCAGUUUUCAAAAACGUUUUCAUUAUAACUUUGUUCAGUUUUAUAUUGUUUUUGAGAUUGAUCAAUUAUUCUUGAUGGGCUGACACUCAGAGAUUUAUUUAUUUAAUUAACAUAUUUUCAUCCUUUUGAAUUGAUUUAUACUUUACAGUUACUUUUCUAUCUC
Molecule: RNA transcript, 1384 nt
Organism: Physella acuta
Lineage: Eukaryota; Metazoa; Mollusca; Gastropoda; Physidae
Source: RefSeq, a predicted model, not a curated record